This 433-nucleotide ribosomal RNA is filed under the name uncultured bacterium. RNAcentral's name for it is "partial 16S ribosomal RNA". It matches the Rfam family "Bacterial small subunit ribosomal RNA", at positions 29 to 507 of the family's 1533-position model. The record is from RNAcentral.
AACGAACGCUGGCGGCAUGCCUAACACAUGCAAGUCGAACGAGACCUUCGGGUCUAGUGGCGCACGGGUGCGUAACGCGUGGGAACCUGCCCUUAGGUUCGGAAUAACUCCCCGAAAGGGGUGCUAAUACCGGAUAAUGUCUUCGGACCAAAGAUUUAUCGCCUUUGGAUGGGCCCGCGUUGGAUUAGCUAGUUGGUAGGGUAAAAGCCUACCAAGGCGACGAUCCAUAGCUGGUCUGAGAGGAUGAUCAGCCACACUGGGACUGAGACACGGCCCAGAAUCCUACGGGAGGCAGCAGUGGGGAAUAUUGGACAAUGGGCGAAAGGCUGAUCCAGCAAGGCCGCGUGAGUGAUGAAGGCCUUAGGGUUGUAAAGCUCUUUUACCCGGGAUGAUAAUGACAGUACCGGGAGAAUAAGCUCCGGCUAACUCCGUG